AUGGAUUUGGAUGGAGAUGAGAUUCGCUGUCGUUAUAAGAAGACUGACCUUGGUGAAUUUCUGCAGCUUAAUGAAGAGACGUGUACACUGCUGUAUGAAGGUGGAGCGCAUUUGGGUCAAUAUUCAGUACAGAUCAUGGUGGAGGAUUUUCCUCCAUCUCUGAAGAACCAGAUUCGCAGCGAGGCUUUCUCCACUGUAUCGGUGCAUCUCCUAAUAACAGUUGAAAGCGGAGCCGGCUGCUCAGUCGUGCCGGAGUUCACAGGUGUCAGUCCAGCAGGAGGCGCUGUGAUCCACGUACUACCCUUUGAGGAGGUCCAUGUCAACAUUACAGUGGACUCAAGAGUACAGAGUGUGUCUGAAAUUGCUGUGACUGGUCCACCGGGCCUCUUCAUAUCACAAAUGGAAAUAGGCCAGAAUUUCCAGAGCUCCGUCACGCUGUCCUGGGUCAGAGGUCCGAAUCCGUUCACCCAUCUGCUGUCUGUUUGUUUCGCUGCAAAUACUCCGAGCCUGCAGUCUAACGUCAGGUGCAUAUGGCUUCAACAAACGCAAACAGACCCUUUGCCACCCGGAACAGAGUUGAAAUGUAAGGAGCGCGAGCUUCAGAUGUCUCUAGUGCUGCCCAUUACCUUCCUGGAGAAUCUGCAUUUCUCUGCUCUCCAGCUGAAUGAUCCGACCUGCCCAGUGUUUUAUAACUCGACCCACGUCACCGCCACCUUCCCUCUGACGGGCUGCGGAACCAAGAGGAUGCAUUUAGGAUCAGAAUUGGUGUACACCAACACUUUACGCAGCAUCAAUCCCAACACCACUAUAAGCCGUGUGGCCACUCUCAUCCUGCCACUCGCCUGCCGGAUUCCCGGUCAACAAGCUAAAGGUCCAGCUUUUAAGAUCUCCAUUCCUGAAGAAGUGAAGACAUUUGGUGUAGUGUCUUUCUGGCUCGAGUUCCACCCUCCAGGAGAGGGUCCUAUGGCCGCCGAAACGCGUCUGCCGCGUUUGCGCGGUUCACCGCCAGUGCGCGAGGCUCGAGAGCUACGUGCUACACGCAAGAUGGACAAGCUGGACCUGCAUGUGUUUUCGAACUGCUCUUUGGCUCGUGCUGAGCUCAUGGUGGGCCGCUGUGUUGAGUCGGAAACAGAAAACUUUAAAAAUACAAGGCCUCUGCUGAACCAGGGCUGUGCAUCUGGAAAUGGAACCUUGGAGAUCUUGAUAUCAAAUUCAACUGUUCGGAUUUUCCGCUUAUAUCUUGGUUCUUUGGGUAUAAAGGGAGACACGAUGUAUGUUGAGUGUGUAGUGCACCUUUGUGUUACUACCAAACAAACCGACAGGUGUUUGGAUCCAUGUACGGAAACACCGGACCUGACGAUAGUAGACAGCAUUCUGACCCGCAGCUACACUGUACGCUCAGGGCCUGUUUCUCUCAUUAAAGUCACAGAAACCACUACAACUGCUAAGAUAGUAGACAGCAUUCUGACCCGCAGCUACACUGUGCGCUCAGGGCCUGUUCCUCUCAUUAAAGUUACAGAAACCACUACAACUGCUAAACCAACCCAAACCACUAAUCCAGUCACUCAGCCUUCCACCAGCCAGCUGUGGAUACAGGUGCAUUCUGGAUAAUCACAGUGUCAUUGUGUGUGCUCAUGCUUCUCCCAUGAACUGUUACUACGCAUUGGAGAACUUUGUAGAGCAGUUCAUCGCUGACUAAUCAAAACAUCUUUUCUUUUUUCUUAACCACCAUUACAAUGUUUCUUUAUAUAUCCUUUAAUCACGUCAAUUUUGGGUAGCAUCAAGAAACACAUGAACCCCUGCUCUUCUAAUCUUUUAUUUUUAAGCAACUAUAAUAGCAUUAUAUAAUUUCAUAAUAUUAUGCCUUUUUUAACAAGAAUAAAUAAAUAAAUAAAUCACAAAUUAAAGUGUAAUGUGAAACUUCUAACAUUUAUUCACCCUCAUGUUUUUCCAAACCAGUAUGAAGGAAUAAAGACUGAGAUGUUUGUCAGAAUGUUGACGCUUCUCUUUUCCAUAUGAUAUCAUGAAAGUGGACAGUAACCAGCGGCUGUUGAGCUCCAAAAUAAAUAAUUAAAUACACUUCUGCAUUUGUGAGGAAAAGACCAACAUUUAACCCAUAAUGCACUGC
This is a long non-coding RNA of Sinocyclocheilus anshuiensis, 2128 nucleotides long. NCBI's taxonomy places the organism in Eukaryota, Metazoa, Chordata, Actinopteri, Cypriniformes, Cyprinidae. The record is from Ensembl.